CCUGUGUCCAAAUGUCUCAUAGGAUGCUCCCAGGAACGGCUUGAUCCUCGUUUUUGAAACUUCAAGUGCUGGCUAAGUGAAGCUGGUAAAGACCCAGGCUCUGGAGUCGGACUGCCUAGGUUCAAAUCCCAGCUUCACCAUUUGAUCUCAGCAACAGCUGAAGAUCAUGAAGACAGUUCAACAAAGAAAUACAAGCUGGUGGCUUGCACCUGUAAUCCCAGCAACUCCGGA
This 231-nucleotide long non-coding RNA is filed under the name Homo sapiens (human). RNAcentral describes it as "HSALNT0298972". The record is from RNAcentral. Lineage: Eukaryota; Metazoa; Chordata; Mammalia; Primates; Hominidae.